Molecule: ribosomal RNA, 275 nt
Filed under: uncultured bacterium
Lineage: Bacteria
Description: partial 16S ribosomal RNA
Rfam family: Bacterial small subunit ribosomal RNA
Source: RNAcentral
CCUACGGGGGGCUGCAGUGGGGAAUUUUCCGCAAUGGGCGCAAGCCUGACGGAGCAAUACCGCGUGCGGGAGGACGGCCUUUGGGUUGUAAACCGCUUUUCUCAGGGAAGAAGGUCUGACGGUACCUGAGGAAUCAGCAUCGGCUAACUCCGUGCCAGCAGCCGCGGUAAUACGGAGGAUGCAAGCGUUAUCCGGAAUUAUUGGGCGUAAAGCGUCCGCAGGUGGUGAAUCAAGUCUGCUGUCAAAGCGUGGAGCUUAACUCCAUACGGGCGGUG